RNAcentral lists this ribosomal RNA (505 nucleotides) under uncultured bacterium. RNAcentral describes it as "partial 16S ribosomal RNA". It matches the Rfam family "Bacterial small subunit ribosomal RNA", at positions 28 to 507 of the family's 1533-position model. The record is from RNAcentral.
GACGAACGCUGGCGGCGUGCCUAAUACAUGCAAGUAGAACGCACAGUUUAUACCGUAGCUUGCUACACCAUAGACUGUGAGUUGCGAACGGGUGAGUAACGCGUAGGUAACCUGCCUGGUAGCGGGGGAUAACUAUUGGAAACGAUAGCUAAUACCGCAUAAUAUUAAUUAUUGCAUGAUAAUUAAUUGAAAGGUGCAAUUGCACCACUACCAGAUGGACCUGCGUUGUAUUAGCUAGUAGGUGAGGUAACGGCUCACCUAGGCGACGAUACAUAGCCGACCUGAGAGGGUGAUCGGCCACACUGGGACUGAGACACGGCCCAGACUCCUACGGGAGGCAGCAGUAGGGAAUCUUCGGCAAUGGGCGAAAGUCUGACCGAGCAACGCCGCGUGAGUGAAGAAGGUUUUCGGAUCGUAAAGCUCUGUUGUAAGAGAAGAACGGGUGUGAGAGUGGAAAGUUCACACUGUGACGGUAUCUUACCAGAAAGGGACGGCUAACUACGUG